CUAUCUUUGUCCCGCUUUGGUGAUACGCCAGCCUCCGGUUGCCGUAUAAAAGGGAAUCCGGUGAGAAUCCGGAAUAGUGCCUGCUACUGUGAAGCCCGCUAUAAAAGGAAAACAUGCUUACACCACUGUCCGUGACAAGGAUGGGAAGGUCGUUUUCCGGGCAAGUCAGGAAACCUGCCAGACAGACAAAUCCGUU
Molecule: non-coding RNA, 196 nt
Filed under: Parabacteroides goldsteinii
Lineage: Bacteria; Pseudomonadati; Bacteroidota; Bacteroidia; Bacteroidales; Tannerellaceae
Source: RNAcentral